UGAGGAAUAUUGGUCAAUGGACGAAAGUCUGAACCAGCCAAGUAGCGUGCAGGAUGACGGCCCUCUGGGUUGUAAACUGCUUUUAGUUGGGAAUAAAAAGAGGGACGUGUCCCUUAUUGUAUGUACCAUCAGAAAAAGGACCGGCUAAUUCCGUGCCAGCAGCCGCGGUAAUACGGAAGGUUCAGGCGUUAUUCGGAUUUAUUGGGUUUAAAGGGAGCGCAGGCGGCGGCGUAAGUCAGUUGUGAAAUCGUGCGGCUUAACCGUGCAAUUGCAGUUGAUACUGCGUCGCUUGAGUGCACACAGGGAUGUUGGAAUUCAUGGUGUAGCGGUGAAAUGCUUAGAUAUCAUGAAGAACUCCGAUCGCGAAGGCAUAUGUCCGGAGUGCAACUGACGCUGAGGCUCGAAAGUGUGGGUAUCAAACA
This 422-nucleotide ribosomal RNA is filed under the name uncultured bacterium. RNAcentral describes it as "bacterial SSU rRNA". It matches the Rfam family "Bacterial small subunit ribosomal RNA", at positions 355 to 774 of the family's 1533-position model. The record is from RNAcentral.